RNAcentral lists this ribosomal RNA (253 nucleotides) under uncultured bacterium. RNAcentral's name for it is "partial 16S ribosomal RNA". It matches the Rfam family "Bacterial small subunit ribosomal RNA", at positions 524 to 776 of the family's 1533-position model. The record is from RNAcentral.
UACGUAGGGUGCAAGCGUUGUCCGGAAUUAUUGGGCGUAAAGAGCUCGUAGGCGGUCUUUUGCGUCGGCUGUGAAAACCCGGGGCUCAACCCCGGGCCUGCAGCCGAUACGGGCAGGCUAGAGGUAGGUAGGGGAGAAUGGAAUUCCCGGUGUAGCGGUGAAAUGCGCAGAUAUCGGGAGGAACACCGGUGGCGAAGGCGGUUCUCUGGGCCUUACCUGACGCUGAGGAGCGAAAGCGUGGGGAGCGAACAGG